UGGACCUCUGUAGAUGGUUCUCGACUGUGU
RNAcentral lists this non-coding RNA (30 nucleotides) under Rattus norvegicus (Norway rat). The record is from RNAcentral. Lineage: Eukaryota; Metazoa; Chordata; Mammalia; Rodentia; Muridae.